GAAAUGCGAUAAGUAAUGUGAAUUGCAGAAUUCAGUGAAUCAUCGAAUCUUUGAACGGACAUUGCGCCCGCCAGUAUUCUGGCGGGCAUGCCUGUUCGAGCGUCAUUUCAACCAUCAAGCCCCCGGCUUGUGUUGGGGACCUGCGGCUGCCCGCAGGCCCUGAAAAACAGUGGCGGGCUCGCUGUCACACCGAGCGUAGUAGCAUACAUUCUCGCUCAGGGCGUGCUGCGGGUUCCGGCCGUUAAACGACCUUCAUAACCCAAGGUUGACCUCGGAUCAGGUAGGAAGACCCGCUGAACUUAAGC
Molecule: unclassified non-coding RNA, 305 nt
Filed under: plant metagenome
Description: partial contains 5.8S ribosomal RNA, internal transcribed spacer 2, and large subunit ribosomal RNA
Rfam family: 5.8S ribosomal RNA (bases 1-105)
Source: RNAcentral